AUGCUGCCCUCCUCCAGAUCAAGAUCUGGGCCGAAUGAGUCGCCCGUCGGCAGCAGGACCAGGCCCAGCACGCCCUCCUCCGGUCACCGCCCCUCCACGCCCUCCUCCGGCUACCGCCCAUCCACCCCGGGCGGCACCAGGAGGGGCACAACCGCCGCCGGCGGCACCGGCGGGGGCACGCCGUCCACGCCCCGGGGCACGCGCAACAGCGGCGGCCCCUUCAGGUCCGAGCCCAACUCGCCGCCGGCCGCCGCGGCGGCGCGGCCGCGCCUCUCCUUCGACCGCUCCCCGAGAUCCGCCGAUGCCAAGCCCGUCGCCGAGCGCCGGGUGCCCAAGAUCGGCACGCCUCCCCCCGACCAGAAGCAGCUGCGGAGGGAGAUCGAGCUGCAGUCGCGGCUCGAGUCCGCGCACGAGGACCUCAAGAAGGCCAAGGACCAGCUCUCCUUCGUCGUCGGCGAGAAGGACCGCCUCGUCGGCGAGCUCAACGAGGCCAAGAGGGUGGCCGAUGAGAUACACGAGAAGCUCCAGGACGCGCUCAUGGCCAAGAGGUGGGCCGAGGAGGCCACCGAGAUCGAGAAGUUCCGGGCCGACGAGCUCGAGCAGGCGGGCAUCGAUGAGUCGCAGAAGAGGGACGAAGAGUGGCAGAGGGAGGUCGAGAGUGUGCGCAGCCAGCACGCCGCGGAUUUGGAGACGCUGGUCACCACCACCGAGGAGCUCGAGAGGUUCAGGCGCGAUCUCUCGAUGGCCAACGAGGCCAAGAAGGCUGCGCUUGGCCACGCGGACGAUGCCAUGAAGAUCGCCGAGGUCAACGCUGACAAGGUGGAGAUCCUCUCCGGCGAAGUCACCCGCUUGAAAGGAUUGCUUGAUUCCAGCGCGGCAGUUGAGGAGAGUAAAAACCGUGAAAGGGAGGAGUUUGUGAAGAAUUUGGAAUCCGAGAUUUCAGUUCUCAAAGGCAAACUAGAGGAGGCAAGAGUUCUUGAGGAGAGGUUGGCCGACAUGGAGAAACUGACCGAGGAGCUUAAAGCACAGCUGGCUGAUGCAAAGAAGGCCGAGUCAGAAGUCCAUCAGCAGUUUGAGGAAUGGAAGAACAAGGCCGGAUCACUUGAAAUGGAAUUGGAAGAGGCUACUCUCUCCGAGAAGGCCAAAAGCGAUACCCUUAUGUCCACGGAAGAAGAAUUGGACAAGACCCUGUCUAUCUUACAGGACAGAGAAUCUGAAAUGGAAGUGCUGAAAGGGAAGACAACAGCAUUGGAAAUUGAGGUGGCAAGGCUUUCAACAGAAAUUAACGAAUCCAGCGAGCACCUGGACGCCUCUCAGCAAGAGUUGUUUGGGCUGCAGACAACAAUAGAUGUUCUGAAAAACAAGCUUGAGGCUGCCGAAGAAGUGGCUUCGGAGGCUUUAAACAAUGAGAAGACUGCUAAUGCAAACAUUGUAAGCCUGACCGAGGAGAAAAUCAAGCUAAUUAACGAGUUGAAUGAUGCUAGGGACAGAGAGGAGAAAGAGAGAAGGGCAGUGGAGGAUCUCACUGCUGCGUUGAGUGAGGCAUCUGGCAAAGCAGAGGAAGCACAUGAGAGAUUUCUGAAGAAACAAGAUGAUUAUGAGCACGCCCUCGCACAGAUUGGCGAUCUCAAGAUGUCCCUAAAUAGUACCAAAGAGAACUAUGAGGUAAUGAUUGAGGAGGCACACUAUGAUAUCACUUGUUUAAGGAAUACAGUCGGAAAAUUAGAGGCUGAGGUGAGCAAGUAUAGAGAAGAAUGUGAAGCUAAGGAGCUUGAGAUUGUCAGUUUAAACAAGCAGUCAGAGGAAGAAAUUGCCGCUCUUAAAGCAGAAGCCGACAGGGUAGUAGCAUCAUUGCGGGAUGCAGAGCACGAACUCCAAACUGUCAACGAGGAGAAAGAGAUACUUCAAGAGAAGCUACUGUACACAGAAUCAGCGGUUGUUGAAGCUAACAGGGCUGUGCAGGAUGUGAAGGCGGAGAAAGAGGGUCUCCAGGAGCAGCUAAUGCGCACGGAAUCAGCUCUCGCUGAAGCCAGCAAGGCUUUACAGGAAGUAAAGGCUGAGAAAGAGGAUCUUCAAGAGCAGCUGAUGCACACGGAAUCAGCGGUUGCUGAAGCCAGCAAGGCUUUACAGGAAGUAAAGGCUGAUAAGGAGGAUCUUCAAGAGCAGCUAAUGCACACGGAAUCAGCGGUUGCUGAAGCUAACAAGGCCUUGCAGGAGGUAAAGGCUGAGAAGGAGGAUAUUCAAGAGCAGCUCAUGCACACAGAAUCAGGGGUUGCUGAAGCUAACAAUGCUGUUCAGGAGGUGAAGGCUGAGAAACAGGGCCUUCAAGAGCAGCUAACGCACAUGGAAUCAGCAGUUGCUGAAGCUAACAAGGCUGCGCAGGAGGCAACGUCCGAGAGUUUGCAACUUAAGGAUAGGUUACUUGAUAAAGAGAACGCAUUGCAGAGCUUAACCCAGGAGAACGACGAAUUCAGGCUGCGAGAGGCUGACGCCAUGAAGAAGAUAGAGGAAUUAUCUGCUCUGCUUGCUGAAGCCAUGGAAAAGAAGCAUCCUGAGGAGGAAGAGAAGCUAGUUGUUGUGGAUGAGGUGCACAGUUCAGCGCGUGAAGUUGCCGAGACAGCUGCAGAAACUGAAGACACAGAAGGAGAGAGUGUUAAAAAACCGAGCAUGGAACUCGUCGUCGCCAAUGGAAACUCCAAUGGCGACAUGAACCAAGAGGAAGAGAAAUACGACAGCAAGGUCGAGCAGCAGGAAGCAAAAAGUGAUUUCACCACGGUAUACGAGAGCGACAAAGUUGUUGAGAAGCAGCUGCAGGCAGAUGUGAAACAAGAAACCGAGUCUUCGAAAGACGACCUGUCCUCCAAGGAGGAUAGCAGCACCGAGCACGCAAACGGAACAGCAGCAUCAGCAGAGGUGACCAGCAAAGUCGCAAUGUCCCCGACAACGACAACAAAACCGCAGAAGAAGAACAAGCCCCUGCUGAAGAAGUUUGGCAACCUACUGAAAAAGAAGAACAGCAAGUAG
This 3024-nucleotide ribosomal RNA is filed under the name Triticum aestivum (bread wheat). RNAcentral's name for it is "partial small subunit ribosomal RNA". The record is from RNAcentral. Lineage: Eukaryota; Viridiplantae; Streptophyta; Magnoliopsida; Poales; Poaceae.